This 73-nucleotide transfer RNA is filed under the name Haematococcus lacustris. RNAcentral's name for it is "Haematococcus pluvialis tRNA". It matches the Rfam family "tRNA". From Rfam's summary of the family: Transfer RNA (tRNA) molecules are approximately 80 nucleotides in length. The record is from Rfam by way of RNAcentral. Lineage: Eukaryota; Viridiplantae; Chlorophyta; Chlorophyceae; Chlamydomonadales; Haematococcaceae.
GCUCCUAUAGCUCAGUUGGUAGAGCGUGACCUUCGUAAGGUUAAGGYCAGGCGUUCGAACCGCCUUAGGAGCA